GUGGGGAAUCUUAGACAAUGGGGGAAACCCUGAUCUAGCCAUGCCGCGUGAGUGAUGAAGGCCUUAGGGUCGUAAAGCUCUUUCGCUGGGGAAGAUAAUGACUGUACCCAGUAAAGAAACCCCGGCUAACUCCGUGCCAGCAGCCGCGGUAAUACGGAGGGGGUUAGCGUUGUUCGGAAUUACUGGGCGUAAAGCGCGCGUAGGCGGAUUGGAAAGUUGGGGGUGAAAUCCCGGGGCUCAACCCUGGAAUGGCCUUCAAAACUCCCAGUCUUGAGGUCGAGAGAGGUGAGUGGAAUUCCGAGUGUAGAGGUGAAAUUCGUAGAUAUUCGGAGGAACACCAGUGGCGAAGGCGGCUCACUGGCUCGAUACUGACGCUGAGGUGCGAAAGCGUGGGGAGCAAACAGGAUUAGAAACCCUAGUAGUCC
Molecule: ribosomal RNA, 425 nt
Filed under: uncultured bacterium
Lineage: Bacteria
Description: partial 16S ribosomal RNA
Rfam family: Bacterial small subunit ribosomal RNA
Source: RNAcentral